UUGGCUCAUUUUCGGAGCAGCCCCCCUAGUGGUUGUUCUAGUAACUGCAGUAUGUGAUGCUUUAGCAGUGUUGGGUCUAACCUGAGAGCUGUCAUCUGUCGGCGGCCUGAAAAUAGACUUGCUGCCAUUUCCUGUGGCUGUGUGACAGUGUGCGAGGGGAGACAGCUCAAUAACAGUCAUUACAUUCUGAUAAAGGCGGUAAUUUCAUUGCAGGAGGCAGGAGCUCUGUGUGUGUGUGUGUGUGUGUGUGUGUGUGUGUGUGUGUGUGUGUGUGUGUUGGGCUCGCCCUCCAGGACUUCACCAUGCAGAUGUCCUGAUGUAAAGGCACGUUUUCACACUCAUGCCUCGCUCUCAGCGCGCUCAUUACAGCGAGACAUAUCAUGGUAACCUUUAGCUAGCCUGAGGACGUACCGCUCUUUCGCCGACUUUACAACAUAUUUUCAAAAACGGUAAAAUAAUCUAUCCUGAGAUCUCGUGGAGGGUUGGUGGUACGAUCCCGGCUCCCUUAAUCCACUUGCAGUCGUAUCCCUAGGCAGAACAUUGAAAUCUAAUUGCUCCCAGUGGCAUAGCUGGUGUGACUGAGUGUUAACUGGAUGAGUUGACACUGAUGGCCACUUAAUAUAGCAGCCUCUACCACCAGUGUAUAACCUCUGGCUAAAACGCUACAGGCAUAAAGCACGAGUGCCACACACAAACACAGAUGCAGAUAUAGAAUUGGGAUUUUAAUCGUAUUAAAGAUUUGAUGACGUAAGAAAAAAUUAGCAGGAAACUUCUAUUUUUGUGGCGUUACCAUUGACUGAACGGAGAGGUUUAAGUUCAAUUCAUCAGAAGUUUAUGCCCACAUCUCUUAAUAUAGCUGGUUUUGUGGAGACUGUGGUCUGAGCUCAUGACUCCUCCGAGGUUUAUUAUCCACCACAGCUCCACGGACUGGAACAAUCUCUGCAGCUUCUCAUUUGCUGAGGUUAUUUCUGAGGGUUUAUUUCUGCAGAAGUCCUCGUACUCCGCUGGCAUGUAUCCUGAUUGAGCGACAGUUUGUGCAUUUCAAUUUCAUCCUGACAGGAAAAAUAGCCACUUCUGGUGGCUGGGGGGGUUGUGACAGUUUUGAUAAAUCCUGAUCAUAACCUCUGUCCUCUGGGAAUUUGCAAAUGAGUCUGUCGUUGGAAGAGAGAGCAUUUCUUACCCCGUCCCCUCUGGUUGCUGCUCAACUCGCCAUUUCUGUUUUCAUUUUAUAGUCGGGCUGUGACCCGAUUAAAAACAUUCAUCAAACUAAUCAGAGGUUUGUGGUGAAUUAAUUGCAAUUAAUCGCAUUUUAAUUGCAUGUAAAUAUUUGAUCUGAGAACAGUGAGAAUCAUUACUUUUUAAAUGUUAAAUUUUUUUAAAGAUGAUACUUAACCAAGACCAACAGAUCAGCGUUUUUUUAUGCCAUAAUAGAGUCCAGCAAUUUCAGGAUGUUAAUUUUUCUGACGUGGACUUACUCAUCUUAGCUCUGAAUCCACUCAUCUGGUCGAGUGUGGGUCGCUGUACUCGGAGUCGGACUGGCAUUAGCUUCCACGCUAGCUGCAACAUGUUUAGCAUUCAGGUGAUACCGAAGGGGUUAAGGUUAGGGUUAAAGGAAUAUUCCGGCGAAAAAUUAAGUUAGGGUCAAACACACCGUAACACAGAGUUAGACACCCCGUCGAGGGGUGGAUGUUGCCGACUGCUUGCUUCUCUAGUUAUACCAACUUUAGUAAAGACCACAGGAUAGCAACACAGAGACGCUCAACCAAAACGCCACUCUAUAGCCACAAAUAAUGCUCAGAACAGCACCUAACUUCAUCAACAGGACAUAUACAAACAAGCGGCUGCUGGAAGAGAGUAGGUGAGUUGUGUUUAGUCUCUCUGCUAAAGAAUUUAGUCAAAGUUAAAAAGACGUUUGGUGUCUAGUACUAUGGCUGUGACCCUCUAUGUCCUGUUGAUGAAGUUAGGUGCUGUUCUGAGCAUUUUUUGUGGCUAUAGAGUGGUGUUUUAGUUGAGGGCGUGGCUCUCUGUAUUGCUAUCCUGCGGUCGUUACUAAAGUUGGUAUAACUAGAGAAGCAAGCGGUCGACAACAUUCAUCUGUUGAGGGGGGGUCUAACUCUGACCCUAAAUUCGCCGGAAUAUCCCUUUAAGGUUAGGGUUAGGGUCUGGGCUUCCAUCCAUCAAAAAGGCCCAUCCACGCCUGAGCCAAUCAAAGCACAUUUAUCCGCGACCUCGUUCAUUUUUCUAUGCGCAGGGUGGGACUGGAAUCACUGCUGCACUCACGCUCGGGGACGCUGGUAUAAGCGGUAAUUUGGGGUUACAUUCAAAAUAUAUUAUCUGAUUUAAUCCUCCUUCCUGUUUCUGUAGCUAACAAACUGGGCAAAAACAGCUUAUACUUUAAAAACUUUGAUAGGUUCUCCUGGAGCGCUCGCCAAAUUUGUUUCGGUGUUAUUCCACCUCUGCGUUCGUCUGCACCUAUACCCUUUGGAGAAUAAUCAGGCAGCCAAUCAGAACAGCAUCUAAUUAACAUAGUCUAAUAUAACAUAGUCUAAUCCCCGCCCACUCUGAUCACUACAAGCAUACUGAGAGUAGAAACUGAGAGGCUGCAGUCCAUUUUGCAUCAGUGAUUGCAUACGACCUUUGACCUCUGUGAUUAUCGUGUUGUUGGCUUUGAAAUUUUUGCGUGCAAAUAUCGGACAAUAGAGUUUUUACUGAUUAAACAUGGAUUUGUUUUGGUUUACUGUGGUUUGUAUGAGGGUUAGGAAGUUUGUCAGGUAGUGAUGAGACCAGCUGUUUUAAAUUACUGGGUUCAUGUUACUGUGAACCGAAUUGAUAAACAGCUCAAUUAAUCAAUAUAUCGGACAUUUCUGGUGUUCAUACCAUCUGUAAGCUUCUAACAAUGGACUCCUUGGGGAAUCUGACCGACGGAUAUUUGGACUCAGAAUAAAACAGAUAAUUUUAAAAUCAUCUUUACUUCUGGUUUCAGUUUAUGUCAGAUGUUUGAACAAAAGGAAACUAAAAAAAAACAUGAUCAGGCUCUGAAACAGAAGACGCACACUGACUUUGUUUGAAUCGUCCGUCUCAGUUUCAGAGGGAAACAAUCGAUCCCACCUCUGAGGGCCUUUUAUUACAUUAUUAGUCAAAGGUUCGAGUGGUUCCCUCCUCUGUUGUUCAAAGUUGUGUUAUUAAAUGCCUCUCACAUUCACCGCGGUCGUUCUCACCUUAUUCUGUUUCAACCAAAUGCUUCGUCAGUGCCGCAUCGUCUAAUUUAAUUUCCGUUUGUCCCCAUCGUCUCAGCUUUCCUUCACUCCUCUACAUCCUCACUGCCGUCCUUCCCUUUUCUUUUUUUUGUGCGUCUGGGUUUCUUGUCGGCACGCCGUGUUCUGAUCCACGGGGCUUUGAUCUUUGUCUGUCACCGCCGACAGACGGCGUGGCCAAUUUAAUUACUGGAACAAUCAGACGGAAAAUUACAGCAGGCGAGAGGUGGCUGCUGGAGAGGAGAUAGCUCACUUCCACAGAGGAAUCCGUGGACUGACUCGACCACCUGACUCGUUUCCUCUCGUGUUACAAUGAAAAUUAAACUCAUUGUAAUCCUGAAUCAUCCAAUUAUCCAAUCAUUACGAGCCCGUGCUACAUGCUCGCUCAUCCGCAAAUUAUAGCCUUUGUUUCAAAGUAUGCUCGCACAAAUGAUCCCGACAAAUAUCAUAAUCAGGGGUUUCAAAGAACAUGUAGGAUGUUUCUGGGGUCCUUCUUUAGGCUGCAAUUAUCACGAUUAUUUCAUUAUGUGCUGACAGAGGACCUUGUGUUUUCAGGAACACUCUGACACUCUCCUGUCGAUCUCUUGGAAGUGGCGUUUUUUUAGGUCUCACAUACGGGCCUUUUUCUGUCUCACCAACUACAGAUGUUAAACUCAGCAGUGUCAGUCAAGUGUCUCUUCUGUGUUUAUAACUAUUCAAUAAAAAAUACCCCACAUGAUAAUUACGAUAGAGUACCGUAAAAUUUCAAUCCGGACUAAAUUUCCUGUUUCAUUCAUCGGGGAAGUCUUCUAAAAUGGCAACUGGACUUCUUGGGUUAUCUGGAAGACAUUUUGCCUCUUCUCCAGAAGACGUCUUCAGUUCUAAGAGGGACUGGGUCUAGAGCUGAACUAUAUAGCCUAGGGAGAUAACAUCAGUGUAAUGGGGCGCUCACACCAAGCGCGAGUAAAAUCAUCUACCCGCCAAUUCAACCAGCGGGAUCAAGUGAUAGACAAAGUUUUUUUACAAUUUACCAGGUAAGCCUACCUCCUCAUUCACUUGCUCCUUUUUAUUCCGGUUUCGAUAACUGAAAGAAAAGGUAUCAUAUAAUUCCGGGCACCCGAUCAGUUUGUCCUCCAAUUUAGAUACCAGUGAACAACCGGCCGUUUUCAUACAUCAUCUGGCAACCUUCGUGCUGAUUAGUUAUCGCGACGCAAAUAUCUGCUCAAGUUGAGAUAUUUUCAGCUCCCGCGCAAUUUGCGUCUUCGCGAAUGAUUUUACUCGCGUUUGGUGUGAGGAGACAGUCAAGGUAAAUUUUAGUUUUUUCAAGUUUAGUCAAAAACUUUGAUUUCUGCUCUCGGGUCCUGCCUUUAAUUUUUCAUUCAAACCUGCCAACCGCUGAUUUUUUCCACUUAUAUCUAUUUUUAAAAAAAGGGUCAAACUGAUGAAACACUGACUAUGAACAACGACCUCAUACACUUCAGUCGAUCCCUCCCCUUUAAGGAUGUUGACUUAAACAAAACUCCAUCCUCUAUGAACCUGCUGUUUAUUAAAUGCCAGCGACUGAUCAUGCGUCCCCUGACAUUUCCACCGGCCUGUUCAAUAGUCAGAGCGUGCAGGUCGAGGCCGCGGCGGUGUCUUCUUUCACGUGAAGAGGCUUCGGUGGCACCAAAAGAAAGGAUUGUGGAUUUACAGCCUUGGUUCUCGGAGAGGUCAACCUUUACCUGGGUCUGAACACGGCUCAGGAGGGAAGGGGUUCAUGUUUAUGAGUAUGAAGUCUGAAAAUAACAAAAUACUUAAACCAUGGCUUGGUUGAGCCUCACAGAGGUCACUGUGGGUGGUCUGGUUCAGGGUCAGGGGCCCUGAUAUGUGGAUUUAACAUCCUGUCUAUAGGUCAAAAACAGCCGUGAUACGCUCCUUCAUUUUAAAAGCAAGGCUGCAGCCGCUUCCUGAAACCGAUUCAGACCAGUUUGGACCAGCUGUGAUGGUUUCACUUCCCAUUUUAAAGCCCCAGAGUCCUUGAUAGUGAUGGUGAGGGAUGAGGACUGCAUCAAUCUAACAGUGAGGACAGUACAGACAGCUGUGCCUGUAUUGACGUGAAGGAGGAAGGGGACAUCAAUCGAGCGGUCGCGGGCUGAACGGGGCCAUUCAUCUCUGGGGGGCCAAGGGCGCAGCUCCUGUUAGACCUUUGGUCACUGGUUCCUAUGGCAACCAUAACUGAAAUAAAUAUGUGCUACAGUGCAUUUAACAUUAGAGACCCCUCGCCCCUGCUCCUGAACCUGAACUCACACGCUCAGCUGGACUAGGAGUCAGGUGUGCGGUUGGUAUUCGGCGUGCGUGGCGAGGCGUCGCUGACUUCAGCUCAUUACGGAGGGAAAUGAGACCCGGCCCUCACCCAUCAUUACUGUAAUUGGUUAAACUGCAGCUACAUGUAUAUCUACCCACCUGCUGCUUAUUCAGCAACGACAAAAUCCCCCGGAGAAAAAAAAAAGCGGAAAACUCUUAUUGUGAAGUAAAUGACAGGCGAGUUUUCUCCAGGGAGGAGAAGAUAAGCACUCUAUAUUUAUAUUUCUAUAUUCCUCCUACAGUGACAGACUCAGACAUACUGGCAAUUUGUGCACCAGUUACUAACGCUGCAGGCUAAAAGGAUGAUAUUGUCAGAUUUUUGUGGAACUUAAAGUGACGUGAAGCACAAUAACCCUGAAAACGGGAAAAACUGAAAUGCAGAAAGCGUUAAAAACUGUCCCAGACGAGGGGAGAAGAUGUCAGCCUUUCUACGUCAUGACCUUUGGCUACGAUUGAUUGUAACUAAAAUUGUUUGAUUCUGAAGCGCUGAAUACUGGAUUAAAUAAAAAGAAUAAAGUUGAAUUUUAUCAGCUGAAGCAUUUUGAACUGACUGGAUAGAAACUGUGCUGUUCAGAGUUUGAACUUUUAAGAGUGAUUCUUGUUGAAACCUUCAUUUUUCAUGAAUCCAUCUGUGGUGCAUUUGUCACAUACCAACAGGAGACUUACUUACAUUAGACCACACAUUUCUGAGCGAUAUUUAAACUUCACUCAGCAACAACUCUGAAGAAACAGGAUCCAUAAGGAGGACUCCUGUGUUUUCCAGCACAGCAGCUGACUGUUGUCUUUUAACUGUCCAUCCGUCUUCUAUGACUUAUCCAGAGACGGGUCGAGGGGGCAGCAGCCGAAGCAGGAAGCCCCACUUUCUCUAGCGUGUCCUGGGUGUUUCCCCUGGUCUCCUACCGGUGGGACAAGCCCUGAACACCUCACCAGCCAGGCAUCCGGGAGGCAUCCUGGUCAGCUGCUCAAGCCACCUCAUCUGACUCUCGACACAAAGGAGCAGCAGCUCGACUCUGAGUUCCCCUGGAGGACUGAGCUUCUCACUCUAUCUCUGAUGGAGAGCCACUCUGUGGAGGAAACUCAUUUCGGCGGCUUGUACCCGAGAUCUUGUUCUUAUGGUCACUAUCCAAAGCCCCUGACCGUAGGUGAGGGUAGGAAAGUAGAUCAAUCGGUAUAUCCAGAGAUUUACCUUUUGGCUCAGCUCCUUCUUCACCACGACAGACCUGAGCAGCUGCACCAAUCCACCUGUAGAUCUUCUGCUCCAUUCUUUCCUCAUUCGUGAACAAAACCCAGAGAUACUUGGACUCUUCUACCUGGGGCAGGAUCUCACCCCUGACCCAAAGAGGCCACUCCACCUUUAUCCAGCGAUGUGGAGGUGCUCAUUCUCAUCCCAGUCAUUUCACUCUCGGUUGCGAACCGAAGGUCAUGGCCUGGUGCCACCAACAGGACCACAUCAUCUGCAAAAAGCAGUGACCCAGUCCUGAGACCACCAAAGAGGACCUCCUCAACACCCUUGCUGAACCCAGAAAUUCUGUCCAUGAAAGUUCUGAGGAGGAUCGGUGACAAAGAUCAGCCCUAGUGGAGUCCAACCCUCACCGAAACAAGUCCGACUUACUACUGGAUCUGUAGACCAAGCUCUGGUUCUGAAGGUCUCUUAACUGACCUCCCUUAAGUUACAUUGGAAGAGUUUUUAAAGUAUUUUCUAGCUGACCAUGCCUCCUUCACAUGCUGACACAAUGAUUGAUAAAAACGAGUUGAACAGAUCUCCUUUAGGAUCUUUACUACAGCGACCCAUUGAAAUGGUUCGAUGUCCCACUUCUGGGCCUCAGCCCUGCAGGUGAGAACUCAUAAAUUAAGACCUGAUCCUUUAGUCUGAAGUGUAGUCCACAAAUACAACUUGUAGCUGCCUCAAAGAUGUUAAAUCAAGCAGCUCGAUCUCUAAUUUUGUGCGUUUUACACACAUGAAAAACACUUCUCCUCCCACUUGUAGGGCCUCUUUUCAGCCAUUGUGAAAAGCGAAGAAGCAUCUGUAGUGUUCUCACCCCUCCUCUGG
This 7626-nucleotide long non-coding RNA is filed under the name Xyrichtys novacula (pearly razorfish). The record is from RNAcentral. Lineage: Eukaryota; Metazoa; Chordata; Actinopteri; Labriformes; Labridae.